This 72-nucleotide transfer RNA is filed under the name Pedetontus zhejiangensis. RNAcentral describes it as "tRNA-Trp". The record is from RNAcentral. Lineage: Eukaryota; Metazoa; Arthropoda; Insecta; Archaeognatha; Machilidae.
UAAGAUUUUAAGUUAUUUAAAACUAAUAGCCUUCAAAGCUAGAAAUAUAAGAGAUAAUACUUAUAAAACUUA